This 23-nucleotide non-coding RNA is filed under the name Arabidopsis thaliana (thale cress). Lineage: Eukaryota; Viridiplantae; Streptophyta; Magnoliopsida; Brassicales; Brassicaceae. The record is from RNAcentral.
AGGACCGAGUGCCGCUCACGCCC